AGAGUUUGAUUAUGGCUCAGAUUGAACGCUGGCGGCAUGCCUUACACAUGCAAGUCGACCGGCAGCACGGGAGCAAUCCUGGUGGCGAGUGGCGAACGGGUGAGUAAUAUAUCGGAACGUGCCCAGUCGUGGGGGAUAACGCAGCGAAAGCUGUGCUAAUACCGCAUACGAUCUAUGGAUGAAAGCGGGGGAUCGCAAGACCUCGCGCGAUUGGAGCGGCCGAUAUCAGAUUAGCUAGUUGGUGAGGUAAAGGCUCACCAAGGCGACGAUCUGUAGCGGGUCUGAGGGGAUGAUCCGCCACACUGGAACUGAGACACGGUCCAGACUCCUACGGGAGGCAGCAGUGGGGAAUUUUGGACAAUGGGCGCAAGCCUGAUCCAGCCAUGCCGCGUGAGUGAAGAAGGCCUUCGGGUUGUAAAGCUCUUUCAGCCGGGAAGAAAACGCAUGGGUUAAUACCCUGUGUGGAUGACGGUACCGGAAUAAGAAGCACCGGCUAACUACGUGCCAGCAGCCGCGGUAAUUCA
This 524-nucleotide ribosomal RNA is filed under the name uncultured Ferribacterium sp. Its description in RNAcentral is "bacterial SSU rRNA". It matches the Rfam family "Bacterial small subunit ribosomal RNA", at positions 8 to 527 of the family's 1533-position model. Lineage: Bacteria; Pseudomonadati; Pseudomonadota; Betaproteobacteria; Rhodocyclales; Azonexaceae. The record is from RNAcentral.